GGUUAAGCGACUAAGCGUACACGGUGGAUGCCCUGGCAGUCAGAGGCGAUGAAGGACGUGCUAAUCUGCGAUAAGCGUCGGUAAGGUGAUAUGAACCGUUAUAACCGGCGAUUUCCGAAUGGGGAAACCCAGUGUGAUUCGUCACACUAUCAUUAACUGAAUCCAUAGGUUAAUGAGGCGAACCGGGGGAACUGAAACAUCUAAGUACCCCGAGGAAAAGAAAUCAACCGAGAUUCCCCCAGUAGCGGCGAGCGAACGGGGAGGAGCCCAGAGCCUGAAUCAGUGUGUGUGUUAGUGGAAGCGUCUGGAAAGGCGCGCGAUACAGGGUGACAGCCCCGUACACAAAAAUGCACAUGCUGUGAGCUCGAUGAGUAGGGCGGGACACGUGGUAUCCUGUCUGAAUAUGGGGGGACCAUCCUCCAAGGCUAAAUACUCCUGACUGACCGAUAGUGAACCAGUACCGUGAGGGAAAGGCGAAAAGAACCCCGGCGAGGGGAGUGAAAAAGAACCUGAAACCGUGUACGUACAAGCAGUGGGAGCCUCUUUAUGGGGUGACUGCGUACCUUUUGUAUAAUGGGUCAGCGACUUAUAUUCUGUAGCAAGGUUAACCGAAUAGGGGAGCCGAAGGGAAACCGAGUCUUAACUGGGCGUUAAGUUGCAGGGUAUAGACCCGAAACCCGGUGAUCUAGCCAUGGGCAGGUUGAAGGUUGGGUAACACUAACUGGAGGACCGAACCGACUAAUGUUGAAAAAUUAGCGGAUGACUUGUGGCUGGGGGUGAAAGGCCAAUCAAACCGGGAGAUAGCUGGUUCUCCCCGAAAGCUAUUUAGGUAGCGCCUCGUGAAUUCAUCUCCGGGGGUAGAGCACUGUUUCGGCAAGGGGGUCAUCCCGACUUACCAACCCGAUGCAAACUGCGAAUACCGGAGAAUGUUAUCACGGGAGACACACGGCGGGUGCUAACGUCCGUCGUGAAGAGGGAAACAACCCAGACCGCCAGCUAAGGUCCCAAAGUCAUGGUUAAGUGGGAAACGAUGUGGGAAGGCCCAGACAGCCAGGAUGUUGGCUUAGAAGCAGCCAUCAUUUAAAGAAAGCGUAAUAGCUCACUGGUCGAGUCGGCCUGCGCGGAAGAUGUAACGGGGCUAAACCAUGCACCGAAGCUGCGGCAGCGACGCUUAUGCGUUGUUGGGUAGGGGAGCGUUCUGUAAGCCUGCGAAGGUGUACUGUGAGGUAUGCUGGAGGUAUCAGAAGUGCGAAUGCUGACAUAAGUAACGAUAAAGCGGGUGAAAAGCCCGCUCGCCGGAAGACCAAGGGUUCCUGUCCAACGUUAAUCGGGGCAGGGUGAGUCGACCCCUAAGGCGAGGCCGAAAGGCGUAGUCGAUGGGAAACAGGUUAAUAUUCCUGUACUUGGUGUUACUGCGAAGGGGGGACGGAGAAGGCUAUGUUGGCCGGGCGACGGUUGUCCCGGUUUAAGCGUGUAGGCUGGUUUUCCAGGCAAAUCCGGAAAAUCAAGGCUGAGGCGUGAUGACGAGGCACUACGGUGCUGAAGCAACAAAUGCCCUGCUUCCAGGAAAAGCCUCUAAGCAUCAGGUAACAUCAAAUCGUACCCCAAACCGACACAGGUGGUCAGGUAGAGAAUACCAAGGCGCUUGAGAGAACUCGGGUGAAGGAACUAGGCAAAAUGGUGCCGUAACUUCGGGAGAAGGCACGCUGAUACGUAGGUGAAGUCCCUUGCGGAUGGAGCUGAAAUCAGUCGAAGAUACCAGCUGGCUGCAACUGUUUAUUAAAAACACAGCACUGUGCAAACACGAAAGUGGACGUAUACGGUGUGACGCCUGCCCGGUGCCGGAAGGUUAAUUGAUGGGGUUAGCGGUAACGCGAAGCUCUUGAUCGAAGCCCCGGUAAACGGCGGCCGUAACUAUAACGGUCCUAAGGUAGCGAAAUUCCUUGUCGGGUAAGUUCCGACCUGCACGAAUGGCGUAAUGAUGGCCAGGCUGUCUCCACCCGAGACUCAGUGAAAUUGAACUCGCUGUGAAGAUGCAGUGUACCCGCGGCAAGACGGAAAGACCCCGUGAACCUUUACUAUAGCUUGACACUGAACAUUGAGCCUUGAUGUGUAGGAUAGGUGGGAGGCUUUGAAGUGUGGACGCCAGUCUGCAUGGAGCCGACCUUGAAAUACCACCCUUUAAUGUUUGAUGUUCUAACGUUGGCCCCUAAUCGGGGUUGCGGACAGUGUCUGGUGGGUAGUUUGACUGGGGCGGUCUCCUCCUAAAGAGUAACGGAGGAGCACGAAGGUUGGCUAAUCCUGGUCGGACAUCAGGAGGUUAGUGCAAUGGCAUAAGCCAGCUUGACUGCGAGCGUGACGGCGCGAGCAGGUGCGAAAGCAGGUCAUAGUGAUCCGGUGGUUCUGAAUGGAAGGGCCAUCGCUCAACGGAUAAAAGGUACUCCGGGGAUAACAGGCUGAUACCGCCCAAGAGUUCAUAUCGACGGCGGUGUUUGGCACCUCGAUGUCGGCUCAUCACAUCCUGGGGCUGAAGUAGGUCCCAAGGGUAUGGCUGUUCGCCAUUUAAAGUGGUACGCGAGCUGGGUUUAGAACGUCGUGAGACAGUUCGGUCCCUAUCUGCCGUGGGCGCUGGAGAACUGAGGGGGGCUGCUCCUAGUACGAGAGGACCGGAGUGGACGCAUCACUGGUGUUCGGGUUGUCAUGCCAAUGGCACUGCCCGGUAGCUAAAUGCGGAAGAGAUAAGUGCUGAAAGCAUCUAAGCACGAAACUUGCCCCGAGAUGAGUUCUCCCUGACUCCCUGAGAGUCCUGAAGGAACGUUGAAGACGACGACGUUGAUAGGCCGGGUGUGUAAGCGCAGCGAUGCGUUGAGCUAACCGGUACUAAUGAACCGUGAGGCUUAACCUU
Molecule: ribosomal RNA, 2905 nt
Filed under: Escherichia coli
Lineage: Bacteria; Pseudomonadati; Pseudomonadota; Gammaproteobacteria; Enterobacterales; Enterobacteriaceae
Description: 23S ribosomal RNA
Rfam family: Bacterial large subunit ribosomal RNA
Source: RNAcentral